RNAcentral lists this transfer RNA (80 nucleotides) under Ruminococcus sp. AM36-2AA. RNAcentral's name for it is "tRNA-Leu". It matches the Rfam family "tRNA". From Rfam's summary of the family: Transfer RNA (tRNA) molecules are approximately 80 nucleotides in length. Their secondary structure includes four short double-helical elements and three loops (D, anti-codon, and T loops). Further hydrogen bonds mediate the characteristic L-shaped molecular structure. tRNAs have two regions of fundamental functional importance: the anti-codon, which is responsible for specific mRNA codon recognition, and the 3' end, to which the tRNAs corresponding amino acid is attached (by aminoacyl-tRNA synthetases). tRNAs cope with the degeneracy of the genetic code in two manners: having more than one tRNA (with a specific anti-codon) for a particular amino acid; and 'wobble' base-pairing, i.e. permitting non-standard base-pairing at the 3rd anti-codon position. RNAcentral also lists the same sequence under 1 other name. The record is from RNAcentral. Lineage: Bacteria; Bacillati; Bacillota; Clostridia; Eubacteriales; Oscillospiraceae.
CGACAUAUGGCGGAAUUGGCAGACGCGCCAGAUUUAGGUUCUGGUGUUUAUUCGUGAGAGUUCGAAUCUCUCUAUGUCGA